This 214-nucleotide unclassified non-coding RNA is filed under the name Hevea brasiliensis (rubber tree). The record is from RNAcentral. Lineage: Eukaryota; Viridiplantae; Streptophyta; Magnoliopsida; Malpighiales; Euphorbiaceae.
GGAGAAAAGUUCUUUCCAGGCCACCAAUGUAAGCAGAAAACCCUGAUGUCUUUACAAGGGCAAGAAAGUGAUGCAGCUUUGUUUCAAAUGCAAAAUCAGAAUGUGGACGAAGGGGAGGAAGAGUUGUAUGAUACUAUGGAAGGGGAUAUUGCUCAGGAAGAGGGUACUUUGUCAGUACAUGCUAUUGAGGGUAGUCAGGGGAUGGAUACUAUAA